UUGAUUCUCUUUAAAUCCAUUCAUAAAAUAGUAUUCCUAUGGUUGUUUUCUAGUUUUACAACAGCAUAAAUAUUUUUAAAUUUUACAACAGCAAAACAAAGUCCUUCAACUCAAGGCCCACGUUGUAAGAAACUCCUGGUCCAAAGUGCCUCUAACACAAUCAGACACUGUCCAGACUCCUACAGUGUCUCAGUGGGCUCAUUAAAAAGGACUUAAUCACCAAGAUCUCCAUUGCAGCGUGUAGCAGCACAGAACUUACUGAAGGGCUGGCUCCUGUAGUACCUCACUGUUCUGGCAGUGUUUGCAAUCAUGCGCUAAUAGGGAAAAAAAAAAAGAAGAAGAAGAAGACAGAAAUGCAAGUCAGCUUAGUGUUUAAUCCAAAAAGGAAAACACACCAUUAUUUAUUUUGUUCAUGCUCGGUACCACCAGAAACAGGAUGUUCUAAGAUGUUGACUAUCUGAAGGAGCUGGCUGAUGGAUACCCUAUUUAAUAACUUUAAAGGACACCCACACUCAGAUGCACUGGGCAUUUUCAGAAUUUUGGUUGCAGCAAAGACGGAAAACGAGAGUCUUUAUCUUGAACUCAAUUAAACAAAAGAAAAGAAAAUGAAGGACAGAAACAAAGAAUCCUCAAUCCCUGUGGAAAAACACUGGAUAGAAAAAAAUAUAGUCUCUAUUCUACAAAGAUCGUGCCCAUGAUAGCAACCAAAUGGAAGUGCACAAUAGGGAGCAGAGAUAAAAGGGAUCCAGAAGCUA
Molecule: long non-coding RNA, 755 nt
Organism: Sciurus carolinensis (gray squirrel)
Lineage: Eukaryota; Metazoa; Chordata; Mammalia; Rodentia; Sciuridae
Exons: 3
Source: RefSeq, a predicted model, not a curated record